RNAcentral lists this ribosomal RNA (145 nucleotides) under Escherichia coli. RNAcentral describes it as "partial 23S ribosomal RNA". It matches the Rfam family "Bacterial large subunit ribosomal RNA", at positions 2798 to 2925 of the family's 2925-position model. Lineage: Bacteria; Pseudomonadati; Pseudomonadota; Gammaproteobacteria; Enterobacterales; Enterobacteriaceae. The record is from RNAcentral.
CCCGAGAUGAGUUCUCCCUGACUCCCUGAGAGUCCUGAAGGAACGUUGAAGACGACGACGUUGAUAGGCCGGGUGUGUAAGCGCAGCGAUGCGUUGAGCUAACCGGUACUAAUGAACCGUGAGGCUUAACCUUACAACGCCGAAG